GCUGCAGUGGGGAAUAUUGCACAAUGGGGGAAACCCUGAUGCAGCCAUGCCGCGUGUGUGAAGAAGGCCUUCGGGUUGUAAAGCCCUUUCAAAUGCGAAGAUGAUGACGGUAACAUCAGAAGAAGCCCCGGCUAAUUUCGUGCCAGCAGCCGCGGUAAUACGAAAGGGGCAAGCGUUGUUCGGAUUUACUGGGCGUAAAGGGCACGCAGGCGGUCUUGCCAGUCAGGGGUGAAAGCCCGGGGCUCAACCCCGGAACUGCCUCUGAUACUGCAAGACUAGAGACUAGGAGAGGGUGGUGGAAUACCCAGUGUAGAGGUGAAAUUCGUAGAUAUUGGGUAGAACACCAGUGGCGAAGGCGGCCACCUGGCCCAGAACUGACGCUGAGGUGCGAAAGCGUGGGGAGCAAACAGGAUUAGAUACCC
RNAcentral lists this ribosomal RNA (422 nucleotides) under Limosilactobacillus fermentum. RNAcentral describes it as "bacterial SSU rRNA". It matches the Rfam family "Bacterial small subunit ribosomal RNA", at positions 348 to 787 of the family's 1533-position model. The record is from RNAcentral. Lineage: Bacteria; Bacillati; Bacillota; Bacilli; Lactobacillales; Lactobacillaceae.